GACGAACCGUGCGAACGUUGUUCGGAAUCACUGGGCUUAAAGGGCGCGUAGGCGGCUCGCGAGGUCGGGGGUGAAAUCCCACAGCUUAACUGUGGAAGCGCCUCCGAUACCGGCGGGCUCGAGGAAGGUAGGGGUGCGCGGAACUUCUGGUGGAGCGGUGAAAUGCGUUGACAUCAAGUGGAACACCAGUGGCGAAGGCGAAUCCCUGGAAAAUACCUGACACUGAGGCACGAAAGCUAGGGGAGCAAACAGG
RNAcentral lists this ribosomal RNA (253 nucleotides) under uncultured bacterium. RNAcentral's name for it is "partial 16S ribosomal RNA". It matches the Rfam family "Bacterial small subunit ribosomal RNA", at positions 524 to 776 of the family's 1533-position model. The record is from RNAcentral.